This 5060-nucleotide unclassified non-coding RNA is filed under the name Sitophilus oryzae (rice weevil). RNAcentral's name for it is "zinc finger SWIM domain-containing protein 8, transcript variant X3". The record is from RNAcentral. Lineage: Eukaryota; Metazoa; Arthropoda; Insecta; Coleoptera; Curculionidae.
AAAAUAAGUAGGAAAUUCUUCGGUUUAAUCUCGAAAUUAGCUUGAAAAAAUUGGGAGAAAGCCAGCUGUGCGAGGGUGCGGCAACGCGGCGCGAAAGCUGGUCCUGCAGCACUGCGAUCGUUCGCCCUAGGCCUAUUCGAGAGAGCUGCCAGACGCCAUAUUUGUUGUCGUCUAUGGGGGAGGUCGCUGCAUCUUAAAAUCCGUUUUUCCCCGAUAUCCUAAGUGAAACAGUCGUGUGUAUGUGCUUUUCUGCCCCCAGGGACACCUCGGUACGGUGAUGUUAGAGUAAGGGGCUCGCCGGAGCCCUAGCAUAACCCCCACGGUACGAAAUUCCGUCUGGGGUACUGUGGUUCUUUGUCCCCACUGCAGGGUUGCAAGAAAAUUAUUCAAAAUGGCUAGACAAGGGGCUCAAGGACCCCCUCAGGGCCCGGUCGACUUGGAGGACGAAAUGAUCGACUGGGAUGACAGAGGCGGAGGUGACAUCGCAGGGGACAGGUUUAGUUUUGAAGACUCAGAUAGGUUUGAGGAAGACUCUAUGUGCAGCUGGAGUACUGAACCUGAGAGUGUAUGUAACAAUUGGAGGGGAUGGAAAAAACCUAGCUCGAAUGCUGGAAUUUUUACCAAUGGUAAAAGAGGCUCAGAAGAAGCUUUUGCGGUGCCUUCAUUGACAGAACUGACAGCUAAAUGUGUCGCUUCUCAUAUACCGUUUGAACUGGUUGAACAUGUAUAUCCCCCUGUUCCCGAACAGUUACAAUUAAGGAUCGCUUUUUGGAGUUUCCCGGACAAUGAAGAAGACAUCCGGCUAUAUUCUUGCUUGGCAAACGGUUCAGCUGAUGAAUUUUCCAGAGGUGAAAACCUUCACAGAAAUCACAUGGUCAAAGAUCCUUUACAAAUUGGUUUUCAUUUGUCGGCAAGCGUGCAACAGGCCAGGUACAAUAACAGCUCGACCCCUACGCACAAUGUAGCUGUCACAUUUGACAGGAGGCGGAUUUCUUCAUGUAAUUGCACGUGCCAGUCGCAGGCUUAUUGGUGCUCGCACGUGGUGGCCGUGUGUCUCACCAGAAUACAUUGGCCACAUUUGGUGACACUGCGAGCCCCAGUUUCCGAAUCCCUAUCGCGACUACACCGGGAGCAGUUACAGAAAUUCGCUCAGUACUUGAUCAGCGAACUGCCUCAGCAAAUUUUGCCAACCGCUCAGAGAUUACUAGACGAAUUAUUGGGAUCUCAGCCUUCGGCUAUUAAUUCUGUAUGUGGGGCUCCCGACCCCACUGCCGGGGCUUCGGCAGCCGAUCAGACAUCUUGGUAUUUGGACGAGAAGACCCUUCAUGACAAUAUCAAGAAAAUUCUGAUCAAGUUCUGCGUGCCGGCGCCUAUGGUGUUCAGCGAUGUGAACUAUUUGAGCACAGUGGCGCCGCCAGCGGCGGCCGAAUGGUCUUCUUUAUUGCGGCCCCUCAGAGGCAGAGAACCCGAAGGCAUGUGGAACCUUUUGAGCAUAGUUAGAGAAAUGUUUAAGCGUAAUGACAGAAAUGCUGUACCCCUUCUAGAAAUCAUCACCGAGGAAUGUAUGGCCUGCGAACAAAUCCUUAUAUGGUGGUUUAAUACAAAAGUAGCUCUACUGAGCGGAAAUUCCGGUCAUGGAGGCUCGGGAGGAGGAAAACACAACAACAUAAAUAGCAAUACUCACGCCUCACAACACGCAGGUUCCUCAUUAUGCGAUGAAGUUGUAAUUCUUUGGAGACUCGCCGCCUUGAAUCCAGGGUUGGCACCAUCGGAACGAGACAUGCUUCACAGCCAGUUCACUACGUGGCACAUGAAAAUCCUGGAGAAAGUUUCAAAGUGCCGGAAUACGAAUUCUUCGUCCACGUCGAAUUAUUACAAGAACGCGAGUUCUUUGAAGGCCGAUCUGGAUAUUUUUACCGGAUUUAAGCCGGCUAUAGAAGCUUGUUAUUUGGAUUGGGACGAUUAUCCCAUGCCUGGGAUUACGUAUACGUCGGAUAUCAAUCCGAUGUAUCAUUGUCCGUUUACUUGUUUCAGGCACGGGCCUGAUAGUGCCAGAGGCGAAAGUCAGGUGACCCAAGUGAACUCAUCCAAAGCGGUACUCAACGGCGACCAAAUCACCCACACGGGCCAUUCCCAUCACCAUUUACACCACCGGCAUCACCACCACCUGUUCCGCAACCACCGCUUCGAGUAUGUCAACGUUAUGUCCCUCAACCCCGUGGAAUACUCCCCCCAUCACCCUCACAUAACUCAACUCAACGAACGCGACGGUAACAGAUCCAGCGUGAGCAGCGAGGGAUUUUGUGAGGUCGAUGACGACAUCAACAUACUCCAAGUCCCCAGUUACAAUGACUCAGACUCGCAGGAAGGUGGUGGGAGUGACUCUUCUUCGUCUAGUAGCAGUAGGGAUACUAAUACUCCACCUACACGUCAGAUUACCAACCCUCAGGCUUCGAACAUCGAUCAGAAACAACCUGGCUCGAAAACGCCAGUUAAUGAACCCAAUUCCGACCCGAAUUGGUCAGGAAAUGAACCUCCACCUUCAACAGAUACCGAGGAAGAGUCGAGAAGACAGUCGAAAGAUGAGUCUUCGAGUUCUCUAGACUCUCCGAACUCCGGGGAUGAAUAUAGUGUGUAUUUCUAUAAUUCCAAGGAGGCGAAUGGUGGGGAGCCAGUAGCGGGGAGUUCUGGACAGUGUCCGGCGAGUGGUGGGAUGCCUGUGGACCAGGUGGAUGGGAAGACUGACGUUUUUUCGGAGAUUCGGAGAUGUAACGACCCGUGGGAUGUGUUGUUUGCUAGGGCGGAAGGACUGCACGCGCAUGGGCACAGUAAAGAAGCUUGUAUUUUGGGAGUAAAACUAGCCGAAGAACUGUUAGCUAACCCGCCAAACCUCAUGAUAGAAGUACCUCAAAUCCCGAAGAAAAAAGGCAAAAAACCUCAGCUCAACCCAGCUACACACCAGCUCAGCGUUCUAGCUUCGGGAACCUUAGCCAAAGGCGCUUUUCUUUGCUCAGUUUUAUCGGAAAACCCCGAGCAUUUCCAUCUGGCUUUCAGAGUGGGAAUGUUCGGUUUGGAGAUGGCCAGACCUCCUGCUAGCACUAAGCCUUUGGAGGUUAAGUUAGCUAACCAGGAAGCUGAUUUAGUCAACUUGUUGAAGAGGCUGCCUCUGGGGCACAAAGAGUUACAGAUUUUGAGGGAAAGAGCUGAACAAAUCAAAGAUGGUACUUUGAAGUCUAGAGGGGAAGCGAUGUUGCCAAUAAUGUUGGCUAGUUUUAUUUUCGACGCUUUGGUUAUUCCUUCGAUUGUAGGUCGCGACAGGUCAAAAAUCAUCAGUCUUCGCCUGCCCACUGAUGAACCUUUAGCCUUUGAAGCGGCUGUGGUGGCCUUAGGUCUAAAAGCCAACGUUUCGGAGGCAGAUCAUCCCUUACUGUGUGAGGGUACAAGAAGACAGAGAGGAGAACUAGCAAUAACUUUACUAACUUUCUACAAAGACUACUGUUACAAGAUUUGCCGGAUUAUGGAGAAACUUUUGGACAGGGAAGUUCACCAGCUUCUAAAAACGCCUCUUCUCAGUUCGUACUACACUAACAAUCCACCUAUCAGAAGCCAGUACAAUCACCUACGCAGAGAAGAGUGCGACAGUACCAUAGCUUCAAUAAAUCCGUUUGUACCACCGUCAGAGAUGAUUCCAACUGAUGCCAAUUGUUGUAGUAGACCUCACAGUUCGACCAGUGCCGAGGUGGAACAGGGUAUGACUAACCUUUCUUUGGCUGGUCCCAGUGGUCAAAUAUCGCAGGGAGCUAUUUCAAGGACCAAAGAGGGCCGGUACAAAAAAAGGGCGUACCCUUCCAUUCCCAAUCAGCCGUCGGAGGCUGGAGCUCAUUUUAUGUUUGAAUUGGCCAAGACAGUACUGACAAAAGCUGGUGGUACAAGCAGUACCUCUCUCUUCACCCAACCCUCGACGAGCCAGAGCCACCACGGUCCCCAUCGAGCCCUGCACAUGUGCGCUUUCCAACUAGGUCUCUACGCCCUAGGCCUACACAAUUGCGUCUCCCCCAACUGGCUGAGCCGCACCUACAGUUCGCACGUCUCCUGGAUCACAGGCCAGGCGAUGGAGAUCGGUGCCGCUGCCAUAUCUUUUCUCAUAGAUACCUGGGAGGGUCACCUAACACCUCCAGAGGCCGCUAGCAUAGCUGACAGGGCGUCAAGAGGGUGUGACAUUAAUAUGGUCAGUGCUGCGGCUAAUCUGGCGUUGUCUGUGCUUCCUCAUUCUCAUGCACUGAAUCCAAAUGAGAUACAGAGGGCGAUAUUGCAGUGUAAGGAGCAGAGCGACGAUAUGCUUGAGCACGCAUGUUUGACGGUGGAGAGCGCUGCUAAAGGGGGUGGAGUAUAUCCGGAGGUGUUGUUCCAGGUUGCGAAGUACUGGUACGAGUUGUAUAUUAGGCAUACGCCGGGUGGGGAACAGUUGAUUGAUAACGAUAUACCGCCGCACGAGGCGCUGAUGGAUCCGCACGCGCAGCUGGUUGCCUUGAUUGAACAACCAGUUACACAGGAAGGAUCUCCUGCGGCUGCGCCUGUGGUUGUUACAACGGCUCCGCCACCAUAUCCACACGCCACACCUCCCGUUGGCAUGUACGUGAGCCACUACAAUUUUGUACCAGCCCAUCCCACAGGCGCCCCUAUAGGCUACGCAGGUCCACUUCAACCAAUCCCUACAGCGACGCAACACGUACACGUGCAGUACCAGUUCCCCUAUCCUCCCCUCCACCUCCCGGCGCUCAAGCCCUGCCCCCUUUUCCCCCUCCAAACGUCGGACAAGCAACCUACGCGGGGUUGCCACCUCCUCCCACGCCGCCUCAGGUAGUGCCGGUGUUGUUUUCCGUGGAUUCUAGGCAGACUCAUGACUUGGAGGACUCUCGAUUCCAGGUACCCUUUUCGACCACGCCCACGACGUCCCAGUACGUCUCUCCCCCCACGUCACAGUAUGCAGCGCCUCCCCCACAAUACGUGGCUCCGACGAUAACCGCAACUCACCAGCAACCACCGCCCGUCGUCUACUC